GUUGCUGAAGAGAAUGGUGCAAGGGAUGGACAAAAAGUAAUUUGAGCUGUCUGUUUUAUUUGAGAAACAAUUGAACAAGGUGUAGUCACUUAGGUCGUUGGAAGGUGUAUAUUAUCUUUCUCUUUUGUUGUUGUUUGGUUUGGAGGAAAAUAACUUUCUUGCCAAAAAUAUUAUAAUAUUUGCCUACGCACAAAGGAGAAUGUUUUUGAUAUUGAAACUCUUAUAAAGAAAAAAAAAAAAAGGGAAAGUGUAAAGUAUUUGAAACUAACAUAUUUGUUUAUGGGAUAUAUUCAUAUUGCAACAUAUAAUAUAUAAUUGAAAAUGUUAUAAUUAAAAUUGGAGAAUUAAUAAUACAUAUUAUAUGAAUCUUAAUUUCGUUCUCUUAGAUCCUUUCUAUCCUAAGAUUCCCAAGUUUUCAUUUUUUUUUUGUUUUAACUACUUAGAAUAAUUUUGAAUUCAAAAAAUUGAUCUAAUUAAUUACAAAUUAAUUCAAAAAAUUGUAUAAUAUUAUGUUUCUAAUUAAGUGCUAAAUGUGUACAGGAAAUAAAAAACUCCACUAAUUUAGAUAUUUAAAAAGUUGAAUUUUAUUCACUAUUCAGUUUCAAGUUCUUUGCCAACAUUGCUCUUCAGUCUGCAUUUCUUACCUUCUUUUUCGCAGCUUCCACAUAUCAAUUCUGACCAUGUUAAGGAAAAAUAAUUUUCCCCAUUAACUAUACCAUCUGGGAGCCUAACGUUGUAAAUCUUGUGGCAAGAGGAUAGGUCCAAGCGGUCAAGAUUAUAGUAAGAACCAACAUCAUAGACUGGGUUGCUGAAGAGAAUGGUGCAAGGGAUGGACAAAAAGUAAUUUGAGCUGUCUGUUUUAUUUGAGAAACAAUUGAACAAGGUGUAGUCACUUAGGUCGCUGGAAGGUGUAUAUUAUCUUUCUCUUUUGGUGUUGUUUGGUUUGGAGGAAAAUUAUUUUCUUGCCAAAAAUAUUAUAAUAUUUGCCUACGCACAAGGGAGAAUGUUU
Molecule: long non-coding RNA, 1009 nt
Filed under: Vitis vinifera (wine grape)
Lineage: Eukaryota; Viridiplantae; Streptophyta; Magnoliopsida; Vitales; Vitaceae
Description: long non-coding RNA (VVIN_LNC005381)
Source: RNAcentral